RNAcentral lists this ribosomal RNA (450 nucleotides) under uncultured bacterium. RNAcentral's name for it is "bacterial SSU rRNA". It matches the Rfam family "Bacterial small subunit ribosomal RNA", at positions 330 to 794 of the family's 1533-position model. The record is from RNAcentral.
CCCAGACUCCUACGGGAGGCAGCAGUGGGGGAUAUUGCACAAUGGGGGGAACCCUGAUGCAGCGACGCCGCGUGGGUGAAGAAGUAUUUCGGUAUGUAAAGCUCUGUCAGCAGGGAAGAAAGAAAUGACGGUACCUGACCAAGAAGCCCCAGCUAACUACGUGCCAGCAGCCGCGGUAAUACGUAGGGGGCAAGCGUUAUCCGGAAUUACUGGGUGUAAAGGGAGCGUAGACGGUGAUGCAAGUCUGGAGUGAAAGGCGGGGGCCCAACCCCCGGACUGCUCUGGAAACUGUAUGACUUGAGUGCAGGAGAGGUAAGCGGAAUUCCUAGUGUAGCGGUGAAAUGCGUAGAUAUUAGGAGGAACACCAGUGGCGAAGGCGGCUUACUGGACUGUAACUGACGUUGAGGCUCGAAAGCGUGGGGAGCAAACAGGAUUAGAUACCCUGGUAUA